This is a long non-coding RNA of Vespula vulgaris, 1881 nucleotides long. RefSeq lists it as uncharacterized. Lineage: Eukaryota; Metazoa; Arthropoda; Insecta; Hymenoptera; Vespidae. The transcript has 3 exons. The record is from RefSeq and is a predicted model, not a curated record.
GAGAGUGUCGUAACCUCACUCGACCAUCCGUAACGUCCAUAAGAGUGCCGUAACGACCGUAACGUCUGUAAGGGUGCAGUAAUGACCGUAACCCGCUGUAACGUCCGUAAGAGUGCCGUAACCUUAUUCGAACAUCCGUAACGUCCGUAACAUCGCCGUAACGACCGUAACAAGCCGUAAGGUCCAUAAGGGUGCCGUGACGACCGUAACACGCCGUAACGUCCGUAAGAGUGCCGUAACCUCACUCGACAUCCGUAACGUCUGUCGAACGAUUGGUCCGAUCUGGACGAAAAAUAUGCGCGUAGAGGGCGCAACGAGAGCUCACCAAUGACCCCGGACCCGUUCUUCUUGGUGCUAUAGUUUCAGUAACCCGCUAUAGGAAUGCAUUUCCUUGGAAUUUCAAUUUGUGAUUGUGAUACAUACAGAGAGAAAGAGAAAGGGUAAACGAAUCGAGAAUUUGAAUAAAACAAAGGACGAUAUCGAGAUUAAAUUGAAAAGAAACUUUGUUAGCUCUUAACAAAAAGGCACUCGAUAAGGAAGCAUCAGCCUUCCAAAGUACAAUUAUAUCAAAGACCCAUUCAAAUGAAAGACGAUUACAUAGGUAUCCGACUAUGAUACCUUAUACUUCUUAUUAUUCGUAUAAAAGAAAAGAAGAAGAAUAAAAACAGUUAAGAAGAUUAAGAAAGAAAUUUCAUGUUUAUUUCCCAAUAUCUUCAAUUAUGAUUGAUUUAUAAAGACAAUAAGAAUAAUAAUAACAAUAAUAACAACAACAAUAAUAUGAAGAAGAAGAAGAAGAAUAAAGUAUCUUGGUAUAUUCAAUUUUGCUUUCUUGUUCUUAUGUAGUAUAUGUAUCUAGUACAAUGUAAAUUUUAAUGUGGGAUUUCAUUUAAACGUGUCAUUUAAUGCGUAUUAUGAUUAAUAUGCAUUAUUCAUACACAUAUCAAUGUAUGUGUAUUUAAAUGAAUAUAGAAUUUAUACCUCGUUGACAAAUUAAAUUUACAAUAUUGAAAUAAGGGUGUCACGAUCAGGUACACGCAUCACGUUCGAUCGUCGACGAUCUUUCUAUAUAUAAAAUAUAUCGAUACCAAACGAUAUUACAUUUGUUGAAAGGCAUAUACGUAUUACGUACAUACGCGUACACGUGCAUACAGAAAAAUUAAGAAAAAAAUAGCAAAAUAGAGCGAGGAAGAGAGAGAGAGAGAGAGAGAGAGAUGAAAGUUCAUUGUUUACGAGGAAGGACGUCUGUCCUAACAAACGGAGUUUUCGAUGAGGUCUCGUAUUUUUCUAUUCCUGUUGCUUUCUUUAAUUUUUUAUUUUGAUUAAUUAACUAAUUAAAUUAUAAAAAUUUUAAUAUAUAUAUAUCUAUAUAUAUAUAUAUAUAAUAUUAUUACACUGAAAGAAAAAGAUAAUGUUUAUACCAUUUACUAGCUGACGUAGACAAAGCAAAUCUUAUUACAAUGUUUAUAUGUUUCUAUAUAAGCUGAAAUAUCUAAAUACAACUUAUGUUAUUUACUUUCUAUCGAAUAUCGUAUGAGAUCAGUCUUUCGGCAACCACCGAGGUGGAAUGUUGGAAGAUCCCAUAUAAACAGACGUUUGUAAAUAGAUACAUAUGUACAUAACUAGAUACAUAAUAUACAUACCCACGCACACAUACACACAGUAUAUAGUAGUCUUUCCUUGGGUAUUGCUUGAGAUUUAUUAUAUUGUAUAGACAGUAACGAGCAACCUUUCUUCUGCAAUGAGCCAAAAUUAAAUAUCUGAUUUUGUUAUUGAUAGAAUUCAUUAUGAACUAAAAAUGUUUAAAUUGAUUAACAAAGAAAUUAAUACUUGAUAGAAAAAGAAAAAAUUACACAUUAUUGAAGGGUAUUUGUUAUUUUCGGC